Molecule: ribosomal RNA, 881 nt
Filed under: Allomuricauda sp. MHM5a_MH
Lineage: Bacteria; Pseudomonadati; Bacteroidota; Flavobacteriia; Flavobacteriales; Flavobacteriaceae
Also listed under: 1 other name
Description: bacterial SSU rRNA
Rfam family: Bacterial small subunit ribosomal RNA
Source: RNAcentral
GGCGGGCCUGUAAGUCAGGGGUGAAAGUUUGUGGCUCAACCAUAAAAUUGCCUUUGAUACUGCAGGUCUUGAGUCAUGGUGGGGUCGCCGGAACAUGUGGUGUAGCGGUGAAAUGCAUAGAUAUCACAUAGAACACCGAUCGCGAAGGCAGGUGGCCAACCAUGUACUGACGCUGAUGGACGAAAGCGUGGGUAGCGAACGGGAUUAGAUACCCCGGUAGUCCACGCCGUAAACGAUGGAUACUAGCUGUGGGGACUUCGGUCUCCGUGGCCAAGCGAAAGUGAUAAGUAUCCCACCUGGGGAGUACGUUCGCAAGAAUGAAACUCAAAGGAAUUGACGGGGGCCCGCACAAGCGGUGGAGCAUGUGGUUUAAUUCGAUGAUACGCGAGGAACCUUACCAGGGCUUAAAUGCAGGCUGCAUGGGGUAGAGAUACCCCUUUCUUCGGACCGCCUGCAAGGUGCUGCAUGGUUGUCGUCAGCUCGUGCCGUGAGGUGUCAGGUUAAGUCCUAUAACGAGCGCAACCCCUACCGUUAGUUGCCAGCAUGUCAAGAUGGGGACUCUAACGGGACUGCCGGUGCAAACCGUGAGGAAGGUGGGGACGACGUCAAAUCAUCACGGCCCUUACGUCCUGGGCUACACACGUGCUACAAUGGCCGGUACAGAGGGAAGCCACCCCGCAAGGGGGCGCGGAUCUACAAAACCGGUCACAGUUCGGAUCGGGGUCUGCAACUCGACCCCGUGAAGCUGGAAUCGCUAGUAAUCGGAUAUCAGCCAUGAUCCGGUGAAUACGUUCCCGGGCCUUGUACACACCGCCCGUCAAGCCAUGGAAGCCGGGAGUGCCUGAAGUCCGUCACCGCAAGGAGCGGCCUAGGGCAAAAUC